CCUACGGGACGCAGCAGUAGGGAAUCUUCCACAAUGGGCGAAAGCCUGAUGGAGCAACGCCGCGUGGGUGAAGAAGGUCUUCGGCUCGUCCAACCCUGUUGUUAGCGACGAAAGUGCGUGAGAGUAACUGUUCACGUUUCGACGGUAUCUAACCAGAAAGCCACGGCUAACUACGUGCCAGCAGCCGCGGUAAUACGUAGGUGGCAAGCGUUAUCCGGAUUUAUUGGGCGUAAAGGGCACGCAGGCGGUCUUUUAAGUCUGAUGUUGAAGCCUUCGUCUUAACCGGAGUAGUGCAUUGG
Molecule: ribosomal RNA, 299 nt
Filed under: uncultured bacterium
Lineage: Bacteria
Description: partial 16S ribosomal RNA
Rfam family: Bacterial small subunit ribosomal RNA
Source: RNAcentral